This is a long non-coding RNA of Mastomys coucha (southern multimammate mouse), 526 nucleotides long. RefSeq lists it as uncharacterized. The transcript is spliced from 2 exons. The record is from RefSeq and is a predicted model, not a curated record. Lineage: Eukaryota; Metazoa; Chordata; Mammalia; Rodentia; Muridae.
UCAACCAAUCUCUUACCUCCAGUUCUCAAUGUCAGGCCUGACGGGACAUGCCCUUUGCCCUGCUAGACUGAUUAGUUCUGAAGUUUAAUUGGGAAGGCCACAUUUCCUAAUCCUGAGCUUGAAUGUAAUGUUCUAUUGAAGAACUGCUGCCAGGGUUCUCAGCAAUUGUGACUUGACAGCUAGCACUUGUUACCUUGGCUGAGGAAGUCAGGAGGAAGGAUACAAGACAACUACUGUCACCACUCCUGUUACCAUGGUGCUGGGAGGCCCAGCCAACUCUUUAAGAAAAGGAAAAGGAGUGUAUGGCCUGGAAGAGAAGAGAUGAAGGAAGACAGCAUCAUCUACUUAGCAGGAGAAAGAAUCAAAGCCAAAUUGUGAAGGUCUAUUCAGGAGCUCCGAAAGGCAAGCAGCUCCACCGAUACUCCCGGUCCUUUCUGAAGCAGCUGUAAGAGCCACAACUUUAGGAACAGCAAAACUGAAGUGGCCUGCCACCACCUUGCAAUAAAGUUUUCCUGGCAGUGCCCCA